Molecule: long non-coding RNA, 7157 nt
Filed under: Mytilus galloprovincialis (Mediterranean mussel)
Lineage: Eukaryota; Metazoa; Mollusca; Bivalvia; Mytilida; Mytilidae
Source: RNAcentral
UUUUCUUUCAGAUGAACAAGAAGUUUGUUUGAUUUGAUUGGCUGACCUGACAAUAAACACUGUCAAGACUCAGAUGACCAAAAUGUCAGAGAUUACACAAAGCUUUUGAUGAAAUGAGAGAAUAAUAAAGAAAUUAGUCCUUGUGAUGAAUUAAGAAGUAGGUUUACACUUCAGAUUGUUUUCCAACAAUGAAUGAAAAUACAAACAUAACUUAUAUUACUAGUGGCAGAAUUAGGAAAGCUACGAUAUAUAUGGUUAAUGCAUACACUUUUUGCAAGUCCCACUACAUAGCUGUUUUUGGUCCCAGUCUGUGAAAAAAGUCAAUGGAUGGUGACUUAAUUUAACAAUUUGAUGCAACAUAAAUUAAUACUGUAAUUAUACUUUUGACCCACUUUUAACAACAAUUGGUUCAAAUAUGUUUCAUGAAUUUGAGGACCUGAUUGAGCUCCUCUGAAUUUGUUGGCAGGCAUGGAUCAAGAUUUUUUUUAAAUGGUAAUUGUCUUGGGGUUCAAACAGGAAACAGGAAUGGGUUUAAGGAUGGUUUUUGGUAGUUUUUGCAUGAAGGAGAGUUUGUGAUGGAGGAUUAGAAAAAACUUUAGACCUAAUGGUUGGGCCAUCUGAGUGACUUUUAUUUUGUGUCAUUUUCAUGCUUUUGGUUUUUGUUUGUAUUAAUGCCCGUUCACUCACCACAUCAGCUGUUGAACAAUUGUUUUAUUGCAUGAACCCCCUGAGGGUUCAUGCUUAUAUAUUGGCGAGUUUUGGAUGUGUCUAUGGGCCACUCGAUAUCUCUCGGCCGGAAGUCAGAAUAAAAUUCUCGGAACGUCUCGAAAGUUUUCGGUAAUUUAUACAGGUCUUAACAGGUUGUUAUCUACGACUUUGAUAUGGUCCUUUGAUGGUCCUUGGCGACGCAAUCAUAUUUGUUUGAAAACGACCACUGUACACUGUAUGUAUCUAGGUCAAUUAUAACAUGGUAUUGUCUGUUGUCUCGAUAACAUGUAAACUAAUUAUGUUUGAAGAUUUAACCACGGGAUACUGUGUAUUUCAUCAUAGACCUACGGGAGAGAGCAUUCUGGUUAAAAUAGUAAUAUUAGAUCGGAAAACAGAAAGAUAAUAUUCUUAUCAAAAGUAUUUAAUUCAAUCGGAAUCAAAGAAAUAUAUACAAAUUAUAUACUGUAUUUAUGUUUCUAAAGAAACUAACAAUGAUUGAAAUCAGAAUAUUUUCACAGUUGCAAUUAAGAAAUGAAGUAUUUUAUAUAUGACGAGAUACUCUGCUUUGGUAUUUUUUAAUAUUCAUUUGUAAAGGAAACACACAAAUUUAAUCUGAAUAAAUUCUUACAUCCUACAAAAAAAUUGUUUAUAAACAAUAAUCAUUAUAUUUCUACGUUAAUUAUUUCAUACCAUUUUAGUAUUUAGGUUUUAUGAGUAUUUAUUAUUUAUUUUUUUGUAUUGUAAUAUAUCCAUAAAACGGAAAGUAAGAUAAAUUUAUUAAAUUUUUAAUUUUAAACGGUCGUGAAUAAAAUACUUGUGUGUUUUCAAAUCACGAAGCAUGAUUUUAAAUCCUUAAUUUGCAGCUCACAACAACCGUAAAAAUAAUUUACAAUAAUCACAACAAUAUUUAAUUACAACCAUAAUGUUGAUUAUUUUUAACUGUUUAAGUAUGGAUUUAGAAGUCUUUGCUUAUAUUUUGUAUAGUAAUAUAUUCACAUAGUGGAAUGUUAGAAUUUAAAAAUUGAUUCAUUCAAUAAAUAAAAUGUCCAUCCGUAAAUACUUGACGUUCGUGUUCAUUGAUACAUGUAUUAUAUAUUUUCAAAAGAAUUUGAAAAAAAUUACUAACAGGAACGUUAGUUUAAUAUAAAAUCUUUAAUUCAAUUUUUGUUUGUAUGUUUUAAUAGUUUAACCUUACAGCUAAUACAGCAUCUGCAUAUUUGUACUAUGGUACUGUUCCUAAAAUUGUAUUCAUUGUGUUGACAACUAUCCUACACGUCUAGAUUCAUUCACAUUAUAGAUCACAUUUCAAAAGCACUCUAUCGGUUUGCGUUCUCAAAAAUUCCGGAUAGAAUGUCAAUGAAUCCGGAGUCAAAACAUUUAAUGUAGGCCGCUUGACAUUUGAAUUCAACUAUUAGAUUAAGAUAUAUGUGAUGACGCAAAUGCGUAUUCUUUUCCGGAGUAUCAGUGAGAUGCUUUCUAUUCACUAUUUCGUGCGCUAAAAGACUAUUUGCAUGCAAUACUAUUAAAUUCACUCGUGAAAGCUUAUUUUCGUUUUCGUUAUCUAAUUUCAGGACACGGCAGAAAGAGCUUUACAUGUGACUUUCAAGCACGGUCAUCAUUACUAACGGUAUUCUGACCUCGAGUUGUUUCUCUUUUGUUUCUUUUUUGAGUCACUACAUCCUAUUAUAAACUUUGACCUUUACAAAAAGCUAAGGAUUGUCUACCCAAGGAUAGAUUCCUUAACUUUGUAAUAUAUUUAACUUUUUUCAUUCGAUAGUCACUGAUGUUUUUUUGUAGACUUAACUCGUGUCUGGCAUACAUCAUUUUCAUUCUGGUAUCUUUAUAUAUCUACAUACCUUUUUAUAUAAAUUGGUUAUUUUGAAAGUGUAUACAGGUAUUCAUAAAUUAAGAAAUUCUUCGGCAAAACUAAGUUUCCCUGUAGAAUGUUUGAAUUUAAGUAAAAUCAGGAAAUCCUUAAAAUUUUAGAUGUUUUAUGAGACCAAAAUAAGUCUCUCCAUAAGAGGUCCCAAUCAAUUGCAUGCCAUAGGUUUCAUCGCCGAUACAAUAUCUGCCAUGAGUAAAAACAGCUUCAAAUACGAGUUGAAAAUAUAAAGGCAUUCAUGUAGGAAACAAAAUAUAAAGAUAUGAUAGAUAAAAUAAAUGCAUCCACAAUUCCAGAUUAUAAAGCAAACUGAGUGCAUACAUUUAUAUUGCGAUAGGUUUGUGCAAUUUGCAUAAGUCAUCCGGUUAGUAGAAAUUAGGAUUUGCCAAAGGGUUAUAAUCGGAAAAAUUAUGUACAUUCCCAAGUAAUAAAUAAAAUAGUCGAGCUUUAAAAUAACUAUUCAAAUAGAAGCUGUAAAUAUAUACUUUCAACUGGCUUCUUCCAUUUACAGUCAAUUAUUUCAAUUCAAAAGCAAACACAAAUUCAGCAACGAUCUUUUGAUGACCCGGCAGUCAGCAGUCUUAGGUUUAUGGAUUGCUUUUCUUUUUUUAAAGAAAGCAACUUGUUUUUUUAAUUGCAAGGACAUUUUCGUGUUAGAUCUUGAAAUGUCAGGUUUCUGUAAAAAACAAAAUUGAAAUGCACGUCCUACCAGUAACACUAUAAUUUCUGAAGUAACUUAUUUACAAAUGAGAACUUAUAAUUUACAUCUUUUCAUAUCUGUUACAUGAGUUCUUAAAUAACAAUUAUAUUGUAUAGAUUUCAAAUUCCCUGAUAACCUGCUGUUUAUAAUACAAAUUUAUAGACCAGCUUGUCUGUGUUUUCAGUAUAACUUUCAAUUUAUUAUGUCAGAGUUAUCUGCCCUUUGAUAAUAUUGAAAUCUGUUUCCUUUCAUUAUCAUAUAUGUUGACAGAAAAGAAUAAUUAAUUAGAAAUUUAAUUAAUUGAAGAGGUCAAAGUUUAUCUAAAUGAUUUAAAGAAAUGGCCUUAUAAUGGUUAUGUAGAGACUGUUAAGUAAUAUGGGUUAUACAUACAGACAUUUAAAGAGAAAUAAUAAUUAAUUUACAUUAUUUUGACAUUGUUUAAGUUCUGUUUUCUUUAUUUCCAUGUAUGAUAUCUUGAUAUUUAUGCACAAAUGUGCCUAUUCUCUCAGUUUGGUUAUGUGACAGUAUUAUGCAUUUUAAGGACAUUCCAUGGUGUGCAUUAGGUGCACGAUUUGUCAUAAAUAUAAGAAGAUGUGGUGUGAGUGCCAAUGAGACAACUCUCUCAUCCAGGUCACAAUUUGUAAAAGUAAACCAUUAUAGGUAAAAAGUACAGUCUUCAAUCUGGAAUUAAGACCUCACAUUAACAGGAUGCCUGCAACAUACAUCAAGGCCUCCCCAUGAUUGAAGUAAGAAAAUGUUUUUUUCAAUAUUUAAAAAAAAUUUCCCUAUUUCAUAGUGACAAUGGACUCUUGUUAGUUCUCUGAAAGAGAGGAAAGAAUUGACAGACCAACACCGUAUUGGAAGUAUUUUAUUGAAUCGUAGCAGAAAAAUAUAAAAAGAAGAUGUGGUAUGAAUUCCAAUGAGUCAACUCUUCACAAGAGAUCAAAUGACACAGAAAUUAACAACUACAGGUCACUGUAUGGCCUUCAUCAAAGCCUAUGUUGCUAUUAAAGGUCCCAUAUUUUUCAGAUGUCACCAGAAUCACUCAAACGAAUUAUUAGAAGAUAUUGGUGCACAAUUUAUAAUUAAAACACAAACCUUGAAUUACCUGGUAAUUUGUUCAGAUGAACAUGUGAAGUACCCUACAUUCCAUUGAAAACCUGUUGGUGACCUUCUGCUGUUGUCCGUUCUAUGGUCGGUUGUUGUCUCUUUGACACAUUCCCCAUUUCCAUUCUUAAUUUUACUUCAUGAUAGGUUAAUUAUUAUUUGUUAUGUCCAGUGGAAACUAUUGCAUGCAUAAUCAGAAUGAGAAUCAUUUAUGAUAGUACCUCCUUAAAUUACAGAAAACUAUAGUGUUAUUGAAAAAAAUAAAUAAAAUCAACCAAAAAUGACACUCCAACAGUGUACUACUACUGUCUGGAACUUAAUUUGUAGUUAGGGUGGGAAUUUGUUCCAAAAAACUCGCUAUCAAACUUUUAGAUGAAGAACUGCAAUUUUGAAUAAAUGAACAGUUCCUUUGCUAUACUGUAUAGGUUAAUAAAUUGUAAAUUAUGUAUUAUUUUUUUUAAUAAAUUUAUGCUCCAUUUUAUCAGAAUAUUACUUCCGAUAAUAUGAUAAAUGAGCACAUGUUAUGUUUAACUUUAUAAAUAAAAAUAAUUGUAUGCAUAAUGCAUAUUUAAUAACACUUUUAGUUUUAUUGUUUGUGAAAAACAUAUGUUUUAUUCACGCUUUGUGUCUCUUUUAUAGGUUGUCACAUGCAUGGAAGAUAAAGUAAACAACAGUCAGAAAGAUCAAAGAAUAUGUAAAUGAGUUUUCCAUGCAUUUAUCUUGUAGCUAUCAUACUUUUAACCUCUGACCUUUAAGUUUUCUCUAAUUUGUAAAUUGACCAAAUACUUACUUUGAUAUACAAUAGUUUCAAUUUGACCUGCUGAUUGAAUAGAUGUCAUUUUCAUGGAUCAUUGAUUUCAUCCUUUUUAUGAUGGGUCACUUUCUUUACAGAUCAUUAAGAAAUUUGGUAGGCUGACUUGUUCCAUUAACACCCAUCUGUAAUCAUAAAUCUUGAGGGUAUUUGGUAAAUUAAAGCCAAACAUGAAAUUUUACAGGAGCUAAAUAGUAGAUGAUGUAUAUUAAACAAUUAUUAUAGGCCCUGGUCAAGCGAUUUUUUAAAAGGGAUGUUAAAACAUAUAUAUGCAAGUCAUUAAAGACUAACCGGGUUCAACUAUAUAAUAUGUCCCAAUACAGAAGCAUUAGAUGUCAAUCAAAUUCCAUAUCUGCAACUGCAAUAAGACAAGUUUCAUUUUUUCUUUAAUCAUAGUAUGAAGUCCAUUUAUGUUCUUAUUUUCAAAAUUUCCCUUAAAUUUCAAAAUCACAAGACCAAUGACAGUUGAUUUGUUGUGUGCUUAAAAGUUGAACAACAUAAUAAAAUUGAGGAUGGAAAUGGAGAAUGUGCCAAAAGAGACAACAACCCCACCAUAGAAAAAAACAACAGUAGAAGGUCACCAACAGGUCUUCAAUGUAGCGAGAAAUUCCCGCACCCGGAGGCGUCCUUCAGCUGGCCCCUAAACAAAUAUAUACUAGUUCAGUGAUAAUGAACGCCAUACUAAUUUCCAAAUUGUACACAAAAAACUAAAAUUAAAAUAAUACAAGACUAACAAAGGCCAGAGGCUCCUGACUUGGGACAGGCGCAAAAAUGCGGCAGGGUUAAACAUGUUUGUGAAAUCUCAACCCUCCCCCUAUACCUCUAGCCAAUGUAGAAAAAGUAAACGCAUAACAAUACGCACAUUAAAGUUCAGUUCAAGAGAAGUUCGAGUUUAAUGUCUAGAUAGAUAAGAGGGAGGUUUGUGCCUAUGUAAAACUUGUUAAACCCCAUCCCCACACGUUUCGUUUAGCCUGUAUCAAGUACGGCUAUUUAGAUUAUGCUUUGCAGACCCACUGGAUUCUUAAAAAAGGGGGCUGUUGGCUGCCAAACUAGACUAAAUUUUGUCAGAGCUCUAUAUUAUAAAAGACCUCAAGACAAAUAUCCAGAGUAAAAUUUCCCUAAUUUCUUUUUUAAGGAAUACAGCAUUACCAUCAGGAAAACAUGUUACAAAUUUUCUUGACAUGAGCCAACUUAAGUCUUGGCUGACAUUCCUAAACACUGUAAGCUUUAGUGAGAAGAAACAAAAACAAGCUUUUAAGUAUUUUUGUUUGAUGUGGCCUUGUAUGAAAACUGCAAAGCAAACAUGCUAUUUCAAGACCACCAAGAUGUUUUUAACUACUAUACUUUGUGAAUAUCAUCUAGCUUCCAGACUCUUUUGAAUCAAAGAGAACAGAAAUUAGUUGAUUUCUAAAAAUGAUGGUGAUCUCUAAUGCAUUUUAAAUGACUGCAUAAAUAUGAGGGUCUGAAUGGGUUUUACAGAGAUUAAAGGGUAAAAAGUGCAGAAUAAGCUUGGGUAAAAAAAUAGAGAAAAAUGUACCAAAAAAUUUAAAAAAAGAGAAUUAUGAGGACUAAAAUAUAAAGAAUACAGAAUUAUGGAGGACUAGAAUAUAAAGUAUAGGUAAUUAUGGACAAAAAUAUUUAAAGAAAAGGUAAAAUUAUCUAACCCCAUCCAUAUAUUCAUUCCAUACCCUCACAUAUGCACUGACUUUGAUCCUGCUUGACAGUAAUUAAUUAUUUUUUAAACAUUUUUAAGAAUCCUGUCAUUGAAGUUUGAGAGAUGAUGUGGUUUUGACAGUAAGAAGAAAUAAAGAAGGAUUUGGUAACUGUCUCAUCUGGUAAAACUUGAAACUUUCUUUGUUUUCAAAUCCACCAGACUUAAAAACAUCUAUGUAAACAAAAAUUAACAGCAAAUUAACCGGAAAAUUCAAACAUCUUUAAAUUAUCCUCCC